UACCUGAAUAGAUUCAGAUAUGAAAAUAAAUCUGAAUGGAUAUUAUUCAGUCUACUUUCAUCCUUAUCGCUGCAACAACUAAAGCUGAAGAUUCUUGAUAACCCUAUUAAAUAAUACUUGGCAUGGAUCCUAAGUCAAUAGAAUUGACAUUGAUCAGCUGAUUUAAGACCCAAAGUAUCUAAAUUCAUCUUCUUGACAAAUGCCACUUAUUACCAUCUCUUGC
Molecule: long non-coding RNA, 223 nt
Filed under: Elaeis guineensis (African oil palm)
Lineage: Eukaryota; Viridiplantae; Streptophyta; Magnoliopsida; Arecales; Arecaceae
Description: long non-coding RNA (EGUI_LNC004484)
Source: RNAcentral